CUUCCUUUUUCUUUGGGUGAUUUUCAAGGAGAAAAAUACCGCUGGGCUUCAAGGCUUACUGAAUUGCUCACGGGAGUGAGUGCUGGUAGAGUCCAGCAACGGGUCCAGGAGGCUGAGCUGGUGGCCAAUACCGUCUUUCUUGCUGAGACGCUUAGGUCAGGGCUCCAGAAAUGUUAACUCUUCAAAUGAAGUUCAGAGCCAAAACCAAAUUCUUCUUGGAGGAAAUACCAAAAUUUCUACUGGUGCCUCACAGCUGAAAAACAUGGAAAUGAAUAUAUGGCUGCUGGGUGUGUUCAGACUGGAAAUCCUCUGGAAAAAAGCAUGGUGGCCUCCUGCUGCCAUUGCCACUAAUGCUGCAGGGUGGAAGGGCCAUGCAAAUCAUUUCUGAACAGGAGAUGUGACAAAGUGGAAGCAAAAACGACAAGCAUUUUUGCGGAAACACUGCUUGAAAGCAUUUUAACAAUUCUUUUCUUUUUUAACAUCUUUUAAAAAAAAAAGCACAAAAAUUACUCAUUGGACUGACUUACAGAGAAGAAUGACUUGCAAAACACGGUCACACGCAGUCGUGAUAUUAGCAACCACCCCUUCAACACUACAGUUACGUAGGCAUUGAAUGCGAAAGGCAGAAGGCUAUGUUUGUAAAGGAAACCGAUUUUUCAUAGGUUACUCCCUCCACAGUGGGAGACCACAGACUGAGAAGAGCUGACUACCCUUCCGGUAGCAAUAAUGCAAUUAUGCUAUUCAUAGUGAGACAGAAAAACAUCGGCUGAUUUUCUUUGCAUCAUAAUCUGCUAACCUCAGAAUUAACCUUGCUGGACACAGAUCUGUUAACUUUUACCAUGCUUCUCCAAUUAGUCUGAGACAGAAAUAGCUACCCACAGCUGUUAUAAAUUGGUAUGUUCCCUGAUGAUGCUUGGUGCUACCUGCAGAAAAAAGUUUCUUGUUUUAUUCUGUGCCUUUUUUUUUUCUUCUUUUUUUACUGUUCUUAAUAUACUUUCAUUGCAAACUGAUGGUAUUAGACAGCUCUGCUUUGCUCUGCUUGCAGUGGAAGGCAGACAUGCUACUUGAGUGUGCUCUGUGACAGUAACUUCAUACCUGAUAUUUUUGUUUUAGGAAAAGGAAGGGCGGAGGGUACUCGCAGGGCUGUGUAGCUGUAAGUGCAUCAAGUUACAGCGGAGCAUGCAUUGCACUCCCAGCGCUAACAGGGAGCUGCAGAGCCUUAGGUGUCCUCUGCCCAGCCGGUAAUGAUGGAAAGAAAGGGACUGACUGACUUGAGGCCAACAACCUGAAACCACCUGCUCACAUGCAGUGACAACCAUGGUUUUCGUGUGUGCUCGGAAUGGAAAUCCCCAAAUCUGCAAACGGCAGAAAAACGGCAAAAUCCCCGAAUCUGCAAAGCCGCCUCUGCAAACUGUUUUAUAUAUGUACAAGCACAUGUAGAUCUUCAGAAACACAUUAACUGAGGCCUCUCUGAUCUUUCCCACACCUGUUCAGGACUCCUGAGGGCUGGUCAUCACUGCUGAAGGACAUUUAAGCACUGGUUGAAUGUCACAUCCACAAAGUAAAGAUUUCACACAUCUUUUUGAGCCUUGGUUGAAAAAUGAACUGAAUUACCAACAGUCAGAUUAUGUCCUUGGGACGUAAACAUGAUUACAGAAAACAAGUAUGGGAAGAUGUUUAAAGUGAGAACAGUGACAGUAAAAACCACACAAACUGCUGACUGGGUGGCAAAACCACUUCUAUGGUACAGCUGAAGCAGCCCAGACGCCAAGAUCAUCUGCACAGCCCUCGGCCAUGAGACAUCCAAGGCAUUUGCCCGCAACCUUCGUGGAGUACAAAACACCCAAACCUGUCCGUUCAUGAGGCCAAGCAGAAGCAGGUGCACUUUGGGAAGCUGCAUCAUUGCAGGGCACCUUGGGGUGGGAAACCCCCCCACCCCCCCCACCCCCAGAUCCAUGUACCCCACUCGCACAGCAGUGUCCUGUGCUGUCUGCAGGCUGGCGCAUGAUUGGGAGCCACCAGGCACACAGCUGCUUUGCCAGCCGGCACAGAACUGGCCACAAUCCUCCACCUGCAGCUGGGUCGGUGGGUAAUACUGUUGGGGCUUGGGUUUCUUUUCCAUAAUCUCCAGUGUUGCCUUUAUUUAGAACAAAUGAAAGCGCUGAGCGUCUCCAAAAGCUCCAAAUAGCUUGUGUUUUCUCACCUUAUGCCACUCGUGCCCUGCAUUACUCUUUUGUUUGCCUUCCCUUGCCCUGCAUCUAGAGGAGAGAUUACAAGUUGCACCAUCAGCAGCCAAGCAAGGUCUAAGCCACAGGGAAGGAUCUGAGUCAUCUCCCUGAGAGAAUAUUUUAGCCAUACAUCAUUGUUUGUUUACAGGCAAACCAGUACAAUUAUGCAACAUAAAUUCUUUUAAAGCAUUUGGGGCUUCAGUUCAAUUUAAAAUCCUGUAGGUUUUAUGGCCAGAAUGAGUGAUUACUAAGUAUGUGCAUACAAUUGAAGAUUUGGGAAGAAGCACGUGGGGAAGAUUAAAGGGCAUGUAGAGCCUCACGCACACACCGGGCAAACUCUGACCAGGCUGUAACAGAGGAUGGGAGAUCUCAAGAGCCCAUGUCAAAAGGUAGAAAACUAAGCCCCCCCCUUCAAGCACAAACUCCAUGCAACCCACUCCUGUGUGAGCAAGAAGCAAAGUCCAGGUAAGUAACCUCGAAAGCUGCAUCCACAUCCAAAGACCUCAGCACCUGCACCGAGAACCAGCAUGACUGCUCGGUGCCGAGUGUAACUGCUGGUCCUGGGGCUGGUGGGGCAGGUGGGGCAGGAGGCAAGCGGGAGAAAACACAGACCCAAGCCGUCCCCCCCGGCACCCAGCUCAGCCUCAGCACUCAUCAGUGCUGCCUGCUGCAGUGGAAAAUAUCCAUAGUUGUUAAAACAUUACCAGGAGCGGGAUGAAGGAAAUCAGUAACUCAGCGCUUGCAAAGAAAACCAAAUCGUCAACAAUAGAUUUUUUUAUCAUCAUCAUGAUGGCCACUACUAUUUAAUGACCCAGCACUCACUGUCAUGCUGUUAUGUGAGACUCAGCCACCACUGUACAAACACGUGGGCCUUGUGAACUGCAGACCCCAGUGAGAGAACCAGGAGCUAGAGAUGUAACAAGCAGAAAGCAGAGAAAAAGAUCCCAAAGCCUGGCUUAAUGUGCUUUCUUUAAAAUGUACUCUCAAUGAAGGCCUGGCAAAUAAAUCAUAGUUUACAAUGCCAGCUGCCUAUAUAUUUAUUUCUCCAGCUGUAUAAAGGAGUAGAGUUUACAGUAUUAUUUUUUUCUCUCUUUUUUAAGGGGAAUAUACAGACAGAUUUGUAUCUCCACAUUCAUGUUUUACUUACACAGAUGCAAACUCCACUAAAGCUGGGGGAAUUAUUGACAACCGAUACUGAGGCAAUCGAAGGCCAGACUCUGACCUAUUGAUUUCCUCGAGAUUGCACGGGACGUAUGUAGUUCAUUGCAGAAUACAGUCUUUGUUUGUUUUAUUACUCAAUAUAUAACAAUGUGGAAUAAAGAACAAUGCCGAACUGCACAAAUGCCUGAGGAUUUCUCUUUAAUUGAAAUCAGGACUGGGAACAUCCUUGUAAAUCAAAAGCAGUCAGUCUUUGAGAAAAUUCACUGCUUUUGCAAAGUUUACUUUCAAAUGGGAUUUAACUUUAACUCUUUGUCUCUCACACCAGCUCAGCUAAAUAAUUUUUAACGAUUUCUCUGAAGUGGCUACGUGCUAUCCAAUGGUCUGAACAAUACCAGGCACAACAGAUGCUGGGCAGGAUUUUCAUUUAUAUUACAGCUGUGAAUAGUAGUUGAGAAAAAUCAAAUACAUGUUAAUUAUUGGAGAUACUCCUCCUAUCGGUCCAAAUCUGUAUUUUUAAAAAGCUGGAUGCUCUUCUGAAUCAGGAUUUUGAUUCAGUUUAUUAAGAACCUAUGGGCUCUCCUUGUAAAAUUAUGACAUAGAUCUGUAUUUUACUUAAGUUUGAGGAUACUUUAGAUUAACUUUUAAUUCAGAGCCCUAUAACUGCAAUGCAGAGUGCAGGCAAACUCCACCAGCAGUUUGGCUCCAGCUCCAGCCCCCUCUGAGAGCGCUUCAGCCCCGAUAAAUGGGUGCCAACCACAGUGAGCAGAAGAAACAUCUAAACUCUGAUGUCCUAAUUAAAGUCCCCUCAUUUCCCACAUUGCUGCUCCCUGUGCGUUAUGAAACAUCCAAACAACAGUAUUUCUGCUUAGCUAAAGAUUUCACAAUGGGACUUUCCUUCUUCAGCUCUAUUUUUCCAAACUCACAUUUUCAGAGGCUCUCAUUUCAGUGCGUUUAUUGGAUUGAGAUUGCCUCGUAAUUUUUUAUAACAAAAGGGUUCAUCCUUCCAGCCUAUUGUAAAUGGGCAGCACACAAAGCUAAGUUAGCAGCAGCAGGCUGCAAGAGGAUCAGGCUAUUAAGAUUAAUGCAACAAAUUUAAAUUCUUCCAUGCCCUCCCUCCAGUAACCCAUCCGUGUGUGCGUGUGUGUGGCUGGGAAGGAAAAGAAAGGGCUCCUAUGCUACAGAUAAUAGCAAACGCUAGUGAAGAGGAAAAAGGAAAACACUGUUUAUCCCUAGCAGGAAGAUAAUUGAUCUAUAGUCUGCACACAACUGGUCUCAAAGCAGCCAGUAGCUACACAGAACAGACUGUAGCUAACCAGAGCCCAAACUAGCCUGUCAAACAAAAGCUUUAUAGGGACACCAGGGAGAACAAAAGUAGCACAUUUCAUUCCUUCAUAAUAAAUCUUCCAUCUUUAUUGCGCAGAGAUGUUUUGCUCCUGAGCACACCGUGUUUCGGAGCGGAGCCUGCCCCCUCCACCCCCACUGAAAUGCUUGAUGGUGACCCAGAGCAUCCAGCCUGAGCCGAGCUGCUUUUUCGGGCUUUGGGUUUUAUUUUUGCUGUGCACAGCCAGGCCCAGCUGUUCUCUGCAUCCUCAGACAGCAGCAGUUCUUGGGCUCCAGCUCUAUCACGCUCUAUUUUAUGUGAGCUAAAGGUAAUAAAAUAACCAUUUCUAAAUUUAACUAGCAUUACAUAAUGCAGCUAUUUAUUAUGUAAAGCUGCUGUUUACAAUGCCCAGAAUAUUGAUCGCUAUAAAAAAUGCAAUGCAGCUAGAGCUUGUAUAAAUUAAUGUUACUGUUUUCCUUUCUUUUUGUUUAAAGGAUCAAUCAAAGGUCUAAUUUGUUCUUGUGAAUUCACCUAUGCAAAGCACCAGGCAGUGCAUUGUUUACCGUCAUUCAGGCUCACGUGCAGCACUCAGAAUCUGGCAGAGGAUAUGUAAAGAUGACAAUUUGUUCAUUAUCCAAACUACUGGAAAAGGCAAAUAAAGCAUACUAACCUGCUUUAUUUCAAAUCAGGUCAAUUUUUUUUUUCCUCAGCUAUAAAGCAGCGUUGGCAACCACUUAAGAAUUCCAGCAUUAUGACUGUAUAUCAUCAUUAUCACCUACAGUAGAUUAUGAAUAGGUAUUUUCUUACAAUAGCACAUGAAGCCUGAGAAAAUGAAAGAUGUUUUCCUAUUCUUUAGGCCUUCUGGGGGUAGAAAGAGGGAUGGAAAAAGAGAAUUAAAUAUUAACAGAGUGAACAGAUCACUAAGCAAAAAAACAAUUAAAUAGCACAGCAUCCAUUCAACAAUAACACCAAAUCAUGAUGCAACUGCUGAGCGUGGGGUGACAUACUAAUCAUGGAUUAAAGGGACUGAUUUGUGUCUCAUGAGUAUUCAUGGGCAAAACCUGAUACGUGCAAACUGAUCUCGGGGAAAUAUGUUUUGUGGGAAACAUGAGGUUAUACUAGUGUCUGAGCAAAAUGAUGAUGACUUUUCUUGACUGUGCCUUAGGGACAAAGGAAAUAUUUACCUUUUUAUCUCCCACUGUCUUUUUUUGUGGAGUUGUUUUCCUCCUCUCUACAGAAUAAGACACAGGGUUUUUUUCCCAUCUACCUGCUCACCCUUGUACUUGCCUGUACAAAUACAGGUGAUCAUAAAAAAACACUCCCAUCACUUGAUGUCACCCAGGAAAUCAAAGGUUAGAAUGAAUCACGGCGCAUACCAUUGUGGGCAACAUUCCCCUAACGGCACCCAGUAGCCACUGGUUCUGAAGAUGAAUCACCCUAUAAACAGAGAAUGAGAUGGUAUAAAUCCAGCCCCAUACCAGCUGUGCUGUCAGCGAUUGCACAUGACUCACCACAUGGGAAAGAAGCCAUGGGACAGCAAAUAGAAAAAAGUCCUUCCUCGGUGGGAGCGUCUUUUCUGUACCACUAGAGUUGCCUGGCUCAGCUUCAGUGCAAAGGCUGCUGUUAGUCAUACAGUACCACACAACCUUUUUUCUUCCAGUUACCUCCAGCUUGGGAUGAAGGAAAAUUAAAAACACUAAUGGGCCUAAUUAUGGUGUCCUGGAGAAAUUUCCCUUAUAGACCAGAGAAGACCCCAAGAAACCAAUGAGUUCAAACAGUGCUGUAUAGAGAAAAGGUCAAAUAUGCUAAAUAGCUUUCUUACUCCACCAAAGUGAAGAUGGUCACACACCCCUUGUGGAAAGCCACAGAGCUCUGCAGCUCUUCCAGGAUCACUCCUGUCUCCGGCUCCUACUGCUCCUGGGCCUUGCAUCAUGGGACCACAAGCCUUCUGCUUGCCUCCAGCCACUGUCAAAGCCAUCUGGUAGCAGAUACAAGAGGAUCAGAGCUACCUAGGCCCUGCUAACUCCUGGGGUCAAGGACCAAUGUGCCUUCUCUGCUUUACUCCUCAUUCUCCACUCUCACGUUUCUUGCUCAGCAUCCACCUGCCUUUCCUUAGUCUCCUUUCAGCUCCAGGAAAGAAAAUCUUUAGUGGUGCCUGAGCACCAGCUAUUGCCGUGCAGGCAGGGGGCCAUGCGCUUUGUGCAAAAGACUCUUGGGAGAUGAUCCUUUGCAAUAUUUUCCACUAAACAACUACCCCAAAACAAGGAGGCCACUCAUGACUUCAGUGCCACUGGGGAGGCCAUUGCUGGGCAUCCUAAGGCAUCUGAUUUACGUAGCUCCAGCCCUGAUAGCACAGACUGGUUUCUUUUCCCCAUUUUACAGUUUGGAAAGUCCCCAAUUCUUCCAUCUACAUCCUCGUCUUUGCCGUCAAUCAAUGAUGUCAGUGAAGGACUGUUGGUUAAUAUUGAGAUUGCUCUUCUCAAUCACUUUCUGAGCAGUUGUCUUGCUUUCAGCACAGUGAAAAAUCCAGCAGUUAAGGCAGUACAUUUUUAUAAUCUUAAUGGAGCUCAUACUUUAAAGUUUAAAGGAGCUUAAACAGUGGGAAAGCCCUGUGGAAAAUCCAGUGCUUUCAUAUGCAAGUCAGGUUUUUGGUUGUGUGUUAGUUGUUGUUAUUUUCAGUAGCCGGUGUUUCAUUUCUGUUCAGAAGCAAAUGUAAAAAAGCAAGUGAGCAAUUUAUAAUGAAAUAAUCAAUGCCGGUGGUGAAUUCUCACUUAGCCUUGCCUAUGAUCAGAAAUUUCUCUUGGGGGCAGCAUUUCUUACAGAGAUGGAUGGAUUUAUUUUCCAUCUUCAAAAUGUUUACUAGCACAUCUAGAUCUCCUGCUUCAGCCGUACUGCUGGUUGAGGGCCAAGAGCUCCCCCCCUAAUGCCAGCAGGGGAGAGCAGAGGCAUCGCAAAGUGGAACAGCAACCUGAAGACAACACAAAGGCAGGCCACUGUCUCUUUCCCUUCCCCUGAAACCCCCCACUUAGCAGCUCUGGGUGGAGCAUUCACGAGAAACUUGCAGUUUACCCAGCCUACCCUCCAUGGGGCUUGAGAGCCCCUCCAUCCCUCCAGGGUGGGCUUCACGGAAGCACCAAAGCUCAGGCUGCUUGUAGUGACACCAGGCACCAGGGGAUAACUAAUGCUGGUGACUGUCUGAAGCUCUGUCCUCACUGUAAGAUGAAGCAUGUGGAGCUGACUUCAGGCUGCUGAAAGCCCUAAGUCACCUAACAUCUGCCCACACUGCCUUGCCUCCUGCCCUACGCCUUAAGGGGCUUGCUUUAAUGGUGUGGGAGACAGACAAGUCUGCUGGUGAGUAAGUAGGCUGGGGACUACGCCAAGGUGACGGAGAAAAUGUAGCCAAGUCAUGCUCUGUGUAGUUCGGAUGCAAGAGGCUGCCCCACACACACGCCAGGAGGUUGCAGAGCUCUAAAUGUUUAAUUGCUUUCCCCACAUCAGUCUCAGUAGGUGAAUGAAACCCUGCAAGGUGGAUGGGAGAAGCAGAUGCAGUGUUUGCUUAUGCUCAGGACUACAGGCUCUCAAACCCUGCUGCGUUCUCAGGAGCAUGCAUCCAAACUAGGUGAAAAUAUAGCUGAGGAUAGCUAAUUAACUGUGUGGUUGUUAGCAGUCCGUGAGGACUCAACUUCACCUGUCAACUAAACAUGAAGAAUGCGGCUGAGGUUCAACAUCUUGAAAAGAAAGUGUUGAUGAGCAAAAGACUGAAGAAACCAAGCAGCACAUUGUGAGAGAUGGAAGUAAGAGCAGAAGGGUGUUCCUGCAGGGAAUAGUCCCAUAAACCUGGAUGAUUACACAGCACAAAAUAAACUGAGGAGCUCUGCAUCAAUGAAACUUCACAAAACUUGCCAGGCAGGAUGUCAGGAGUUCAGUAUUUAUCAACAAAGCCAUGGAGACAGUUGUACUUACAGCUAGG
Long non-coding RNA from Falco peregrinus (peregrine falcon), 8680 nucleotides. RefSeq lists it as uncharacterized. NCBI's taxonomy places the organism in Eukaryota, Metazoa, Chordata, Aves, Falconiformes, Falconidae. The record is from RefSeq and is a predicted model, not a curated record. The transcript has 4 exons.